This 378-nucleotide unclassified non-coding RNA is filed under the name uncultured Pseudomonadota bacterium. RNAcentral describes it as "uncultured proteobacterium contains 16S-23S intergenic spacer region". Lineage: Bacteria; Pseudomonadati; Pseudomonadota. The record is from RNAcentral.
UCUCGGCUUAUCACCGGCAGUCCCCCUAGAGUGCCCAACUGAAUGAUGGCAACUAAGGGCGAGGGUUGCGCUCGUUGCGGGACUUAACCCAACAUCUCACGACACGAGCUGACGACAGCCAUGCAGCACCUGUGUGCAGGUCCCCGAAGGGAAGGAAUCCAUCUCUGCGCCCGCGACGCCCAUGUCAAGGGCUGGUAAGGUUUUUCGCGUUGCAUCGAAUUAAUCCACAUCAUCCACCGCUUGUGCGGGUCCCCGUCAAUUCCUUUGAGUUUUAAUCUUGCGACCGUACUCCCCAGGCGGUCUACUUCACGCGUUAGCUGCGUUACCAAGUUAAUUAAAACCCGACAACUAGUAGACAUCGUUUAGGGCGUGGACUAC